This 427-nucleotide ribosomal RNA is filed under the name Chione elevata. RNAcentral describes it as "partial large subunit ribosomal RNA". It matches the Rfam family "Bacterial large subunit ribosomal RNA", at positions 1842 to 2576 of the family's 2925-position model. Lineage: Eukaryota; Metazoa; Mollusca; Bivalvia; Venerida; Veneridae. The record is from RNAcentral.
AUAAUAAGGAGNNGGGCCUGCCCGGCGUAAUAAUUAACGGUUGCAACGAGCAGUUGUACUAAGGUAGCAUAAUAAGUUGUCUCUUAAUUGGAGAAUGGAAUGAAAGGUUUGACGUAUAAUCGCUUUUUUUUACAAGAUUACUGAAGUUUUCUUUUAAGUGAAAAGGCUUAAAUUUUUGAAAAAGAAGAGAAGACCCUGUUGAACUUGAUUAGAAAUGUUGAAGAUAAUAUUUUGAAGUUUUAUUGGGGCAAUAUUAACUUAAAAAACAGUUAAUUUAUUAUAAGAUCCUUUAUAUGAAAGAAAUUAGAAAAAGUUACCGCAGGGAUAACAGCGUAAUUUUUCUUGAGAGAUCUAAUUGAGGGAAAAGUUUGCGACCUCGAUGUUAUAUUAUAAAAACUUUACGGUGCAGCAGACUGUAUUAGUUAGA